RNAcentral lists this ribosomal RNA (316 nucleotides) under Korthalsia laciniosa. RNAcentral describes it as "eukaryotic LSU rRNA". It matches the Rfam family "Eukaryotic large subunit ribosomal RNA", at positions 1 to 315 of the family's 3401-position model. Lineage: Eukaryota; Viridiplantae; Streptophyta; Magnoliopsida; Arecales; Arecaceae. The record is from RNAcentral. RNAcentral also lists the same sequence under 1 other name.
CGAUCCCAGGUCAGGCGGGGCCACCCGCCGAGCUUAAGCAUAUCAAUAAGCGGAGGAGGAGAAACUUACGAGGAUUCCCCUAGUAACGGCGAGCGAACCGGGACCAGCCCAGCUUGAGAAUCGGUCGGCGGCGCCGAGCGAAUUGUAGUCUGGGGAAGCGACCUCAGCGGCGGACCGGGCCCAAGUCCCCUGGAAAGGGGCGCCCGGGAGGGUGAGAGCCCCGUCCGGCCCGGACCCUGCCGCACCACGAGGCGCUGUCGGCGAGUCGGGCUGUUUGGGAAUGCAGCCCCAAUCGGGCGGUAAAUUCCGUCCAAGA